Molecule: long non-coding RNA, 252 nt
Filed under: Parus major (Great Tit)
Lineage: Eukaryota; Metazoa; Chordata; Aves; Passeriformes; Paridae
Description: lncRNA (ENSPMJG00000008902.1)
Source: RNAcentral
CCAUACUCCUCAUCUCUCAGUGUGACAUUUAAGGGUGGCCUCUAAAAGCAUGACAGCAGUGGCAUUGAUGUUACAUAAAGAAGCAAUUUUGACAGAGUUAUUUAAGGAAGAGGUCUCACUUCCAGAAAUCUGAACCUAAUAUGCAGAACAUACAAUUUACAGUCACACACCUAAAAAUCCAAGAAGAGAUGGAUGAAUAUAAAGAAAUAUUUUAUAGCAGUCUGUCACCUCAACACCAAGAUGCUAAGCCAG